CUACGGGGGGCUGCAGUUAAGAAUCUUUUGCAAUACACGUAAGUGUGACAAAGUGAGCCAGAGUGCUUUUCUCAAAGAAAAGCUUUUGCCGAAUGUAAAAAGUUCGGCGAAUAAGGACUGGGUAAGACUAGUGCCAGCCGCCGCGGUAAUACUAGCGGUCCAAGUCGCAGCCAUUUUUAUUAGGUCUAAAACAUCCGUAGCUUGCUUUGCAAGUCCCUUGUGAAAUCCGGCAUCUUAAAUGUCGAACGGGCAAGGGGUACUGCAGAGCUAGAGACCGGAAGACGUAAGAAGUACGAUUUAGGUAGUAGUAAAAUACUUUAAUCUUAAUCGGACUAACAACAGCGAAGGCAUCUUACGAGGACGGUUCUGACAGUAAGGGAUGAAGGCUAGGGGCGCAAAACGGAUUAGAUACCCUAGUAGUC
RNAcentral lists this ribosomal RNA (422 nucleotides) under uncultured archaeon. RNAcentral's name for it is "partial 16S ribosomal RNA". It matches the Rfam family "Archaeal small subunit ribosomal RNA", at positions 323 to 746 of the family's 1478-position model. The record is from RNAcentral.